ACCCUGGAAUGAGUCGGUGUGUCCAAACUUUUGACUGGUACUGUACGUGCAUUUCUCUACCCUUCCAAUUGAUUUAAGGCAAUCGUCGUUAUUUCCCGAUAGCUGAGUAGUCACCCAGUUGACAGAACAGGUUUGUUUGAUCACGGUGUUUACCUGGAUGGGGCAAUCACACCUCCACCCACUAAAUGUCAACGAUGGAAACCAAACACACUUUGGACUGCGUGAUCGACAGAGGACAUUCAGCCUGAGCCUGUUGUGUAUUCACUAGGAACCAAACAGAAGUAAACCGGACCAAACGGGACCAAACUGGACCAAACGGGACCAAACUGGACCAAACGGGACCAAACAGCAGUGGUUUAUAGUACAUACGUAAUUUACUUUUAAAGUACUACUUUAGUGGUGUUUUUGGGUAUCUGUACUUUACUUUACUAUUUAACAUUUUUGACAACUUUUACUUUUAAAUCCACUACAUUCGUAAACAAAAUAAUGUACUUUUUAUUCCACACAUUUUCCCUGACACCUAAAAGUACUCGUUACAUUUAGAACACUCAGCGAGGACAGAAUUACGGCACCUGUCAGGAUAACACUUGGUCGUCCCUACUGCCUCUGAUCUGGGGGACUCACGAAACACAACUACUGUGUUUGUAAAUGAUGUCUGAGUUUUGGAGUGUGGCCCCUGUCAGUCCGUAGUUAAAAAUAAUACGAAAAUAGUGCCGUCUGGUUUGCUUAAUAUCAGGAGUUUGAUGAAUAGCUUUUACUUUGUACUUUUACUCAAGUAUGACGAUUGAUUACUUUUUCUACCACUUUACCACUGUAGAUUUAAAGCCAAGUAGUAUUUUCUCAAGUAGUAUUUUACUGGUUGACUUUUACUUGAGUCAUCUUCUAUUAAGGUGUCUUUACUUUUACUCAAGUAUGACAAUUGAGUACUUUUUCCACCACUGCCAAACGGGACCAAACAGGACCAAGUGGGACAAAACGGGGCCAAGUGGGACCAAGUGGGACCAAACAGGACCAAACAGGACCAAGUGGGACCAAACGGGGCCAAGUGGGACCAAACGGGGCCAAGUGGGACCAAACAGGACCAAGUGGGACAAAACGGGGCCAAGUGGGACCAAGUGGGACAAAACAGGACCAAACAGGACCAAGUGGGACAAAACGGGGCCAAGUGGGACCAAACGGGGCCAAGUGGGACCAAACGGGGCCAAGUGGGACCAAACAGGACCAAGUGGGACCAAACGGGGCCAAGUGGGACCAAACGGGACCAAACGGGGCCAAGUGGGACCAAACGGGCCAAACGGGAACAAGUGGGACCAAACGGGGCCAAGUGGGACCAAACGGGCCCAAGUGGGACCAAACGGGCCAAACGGGACCAAGUGGGACCAAACGUGGCCAAGUGGGACCAAACGGGCCCAAGUGGGACCAAACGGGGCCAAGUGGGACCAAACGGGGCCAAACGGGGCCAAGUGGGACCAAACGGGGCCAAGUGGGACCAAACGGGGACAAACGGGGCCAAGUGGGACCAAACAAGGAGAGACCUACAUGACCUACAUUUGUCUAAUAAGAAACUCUUGUUUUUGUUGCAAAAUGUUUUCAGUUGGGAAGCGUUUUGUUAUGAUUUUAUACAGUGUGCACUAAUGACUACACCCCAGGACUGCCCAGGUAGAAUUGGUUCAUGCUCUUUCUGAUUAAAAGGAGGAAACACGUUGUUUUUGGACUUGUGUUGAAAGACUGCAGUUGGAUUUGGUCAUAGUUAUCAUUCUGCCAGUAAAAUGGCAUCAAAGAAAUGGUUGAGUAAGCAGGUAUUACCUCCGCAACUUGAUCAAUCAUUCACAAAACACUGUCCUGUUGUCCAUUAUCCAAGAGUUCCAACUAACAUAUUGGUCUUCAGGUAAAUCGCCUGUCUGUCUGUCUGUCUGUCUGUCUGUCUGUCUGUCUGUCUGUCUGUCUGUCUGUCUGUCUGUCUGUCUGUCUGUCUGUCUGUCUGUCUGUCUGUCUGUCUGUCUGUCUGUCUGUCUGUCUGUCUGUCUGUCCAUCUGUCUGUUUGUCUGUCUGUCUCCGUCUGUCUGUCCAUCUGUCUGUUUGUCUGUCUGUCCAUCCGUCUGUCUGUCCAUCCGUUUGUAUGUCUGUCCAUCUGUCUGUUUGUCUGUCUGUCCAUCCGUCUGUCUGUCCAUCCGUUGUCUGUCUGUCUGUCCAUCUGUCUGUCUGUCUGUCUGUCUGUCCAUCCAUCCAUCUGUCUGUCCUUCCAUCCAUAUGCCUCUGUCUGUCUGUCUGUCUGUCUGUCCAUCCAUCCAUAUGCCUGUCUGUCUGUCUGUCUGUCUGUCUGUCUGUCUGUCUGUCUGUCUGUCUGUCUCCGUCUGUCUGUCCAUCCAUCCGUCUGUCUGUCUGUCUGUCUGACUGUCUGUCUGUCUGUCUGUCUGUCCGUUUGUAUGUCUGUCCAUCUGUCUGUUUGUCUGUCUGUCCAUCCGUCUGUCUGUCUGUCUGUAUGCCUGUCUGUCUGUCUGUCUGUCUGUCUGUCUGUCUGUCUGUCUGUCUGUCUGUCUGUCUGUCUGUCUGUCUG
Long non-coding RNA from Oncorhynchus tshawytscha (Chinook salmon), 2557 nucleotides. Lineage: Eukaryota; Metazoa; Chordata; Actinopteri; Salmoniformes; Salmonidae. The record is from Ensembl.